GGGGAAUAUUGGACAAUGGGGGAAACCUUGAUCAACCAUUGCGGGGUUUUUGAAGAGGGCCUUUUGUUUGUAAAGCCCUUUAAGCGAGAAGGAGGCUCUUUUGUUUAUUACCCAAGUUGGGUGGACGUUACUGGCGGAUUAGGCCCGGGCUACCUUUGUGCCAGCAGCCGCGGUAAUACAGAGGGUGCGAGCGUUAAUCGGAUUUACUGGGCGUAAAGCGUGCGUAGGCGGCUUUUUAAGUCGGAUGUGAAAUCCCCGAGCUUAACUUGGGAAUUGCAUUCGAUACUGGGAAGCUAGAGUAUGGGAGAGGAUGGUAGAAUUCCAGGUGUAGCGGUGAAAUGCGUAGAGAUCUGGAGGAAUACCGAUGGCGAAGGCAGCCAUCUGGCCUAAUACUGACGCUGAGGUACGAAAGCAUGGGGAGCAAACA
This 427-nucleotide ribosomal RNA is filed under the name uncultured Moraxellaceae bacterium. RNAcentral describes it as "bacterial SSU rRNA". It matches the Rfam family "Bacterial small subunit ribosomal RNA", at positions 356 to 774 of the family's 1533-position model. The record is from RNAcentral. Lineage: Bacteria; Pseudomonadati; Pseudomonadota; Gammaproteobacteria; Moraxellales; Moraxellaceae.